RNAcentral lists this long non-coding RNA (200 nucleotides) under Panax ginseng (ginseng). RNAcentral's name for it is "long non-coding RNA (PGIN_LNC012181)". Lineage: Eukaryota; Viridiplantae; Streptophyta; Magnoliopsida; Apiales; Araliaceae. The record is from RNAcentral.
UCUAAGUACCAUAGAGAAGAGCUCACAGUCAUCUUAGCAAGUCCAUCAUGAGAAGACAUCAAGUAUCAAAAAGGGAGAUCACAAACGUCAUCAUGGUGGCAAGCAUGAGAAAGUUUCUAAGUACCUAGCAGAUGAGCUUACAGUCAUCUUAGAAACCCAUCAUGUACAACCAUCAUGUAUCAAGAGGAACGAUCUUUAAG